AUGCUGGGCCAGCUGGGAACCUGGGGAACCUCAGAGCAGAGCCCAACUUUCUGCCCUGGACUGAUGGAUGAGAUGCACCCUCACCUCUGCCUCCCCUUGGCAUCCAGAGUUGCUUUACUCUUGCCUCCCAAACAGAGGAAUCUUCCAUCAAAACAAUUAGGAGACCCCAGGCAGCUGUCUUCUGGGAACAUCCUUCUAACAGCAACAGUCCCCCACCCACCAAGCUACUCCCUACAUCCAAAUGAUUCCCGAGGUUGCAGUUAGAUUAGUACAUGGUGACUGUGCCCUUGGGAGAUGCUAGGUCCUGGCCUGACAACCUGACCUGACCUAGGAUGAGCCCAUCAGAGACCUUUCAAAGCCAGGCUUUCUGUCUUGUGAGCCACAUAAACAGGGAAACUCAUCUCAAGAAGACAGGGAGAACUGAUAAAAUUUGUGGAGAGGAGGAGGAUGCAAGUCAGAAGGAGAGGACUCUGUUGGUAUCUGGGUCCCUGGUCUCAAUUUUUUCUGAAACCCAGCUAUCCUUAAAUCCUGAAAGACACCAGAAUACCCUCAAAAUUAAUUUCCUUUGCUAUUAGGCUAGUUCAAGUGGGACUUCUGUCACUUGCAACCAAAAGAGUCCUAAGAAUGUCACGUGACUCUCUUUCAUUCAUGACCUCACUGUGAGGUAUGAGAUCUCUGUAACUGCACUCGGUCUACCUAGAUCAGCAUCUUCUUUACCGGUGGGCUCCUUUAAGAAAGUUUGAUAUAUUGGGGCCCCUGGGUGGCUCAGUCGAUUAAGCAUCUGACUUCAGCUCAGGUCAUGAUCUCACGGUUCAUGAGUUUGAGCCCUGCGUCGGGCUCUGUGCUGAUCAUUCAGAGCCUAGAGCCUGCUUCGGAUUCUGUGUCUCCCUCUGUCUCUGCACCUCCCCUUCUCUCACUCUGUCUCUGCCUCUCAAAAAUAAAAAAAUUAAAAUUAAAAAAACA
This 963-nucleotide long non-coding RNA is filed under the name Felis catus (domestic cat). RNAcentral describes it as "lncRNA (ENSFCAG00000041729.2)". The record is from RNAcentral. Lineage: Eukaryota; Metazoa; Chordata; Mammalia; Carnivora; Felidae.